This 294-nucleotide unclassified non-coding RNA is filed under the name uncultured Conocybe. RNAcentral's name for it is "sequence contains ITS2". The stretch from base 1 to 52 matches the Rfam family "5.8S ribosomal RNA", at positions 103 to 154 of the family's 154-position model. The record is from RNAcentral. Lineage: Eukaryota; Fungi; Basidiomycota; Agaricomycetes; Agaricales; Bolbitiaceae.
AACGCACCUUGCGCUCCUUGGUAUUCCGAGGAGCAUGCCUGUUUGAGUGUCAUUAAAUUCUCAAUCUUCACAACCUUGUGUUUGAAGAUUGGAUGUGGGGGUUUAUGUGGGUUCUUUUUACAAGUCCCACUCCUCUGAAAUGUAUUAGCUGGAAUGCCUUUGCAAAGCCAACUAUCAGUGUGAUAAUUAUCUAUGCUGGAGUUGCUGCAUAAAGGGGAUCUGCUUCUCAACUGUCCUAUGGACAAUUUGAAUCAUUUUGACCUCAAAUCAGGUAGGACUACCCGCUGAACUUAA